GGGGAUGUAGCUCAGUGGUAGAGCACCUGCCUAGGUGCAUGAAGCUCUGGGUUCAAUCCCCCAACCCUU
This 69-nucleotide transfer RNA is filed under the name Heterocephalus glaber (naked mole-rat). It matches the Rfam family "tRNA". From Rfam's summary of the family: Transfer RNA (tRNA) molecules are approximately 80 nucleotides in length. Their secondary structure includes four short double-helical elements and three loops (D, anti-codon, and T loops). Lineage: Eukaryota; Metazoa; Chordata; Mammalia; Rodentia; Bathyergidae. The record is from Rfam by way of RNAcentral.